UGGCGCCGUUAGAAUGGUGAACUGCAGGACACAUGAACACCGACAAGUUGAACGCAUAUUGCACAUCGUACAACAGUACGAUGUACACAUUUUUGAGUUGCCUAUAUUUAUAGAUUCAACCAUAUUCGCGCCUAGCGCGCCGGAUAUACAUAGUGGCGGUUUACCCCAGGGUUAAGUGGCGGGGAAACGUUUAAAACUGCCAACCCUGGGCCUCACACUACUAACUUCGGGGGGCCUAAUCCAAUGGGAACGGGAACUCCCCCCAACCCUCCACCUCGGUUGGAAGGCAAGGCAAGGGGGCCCCAUGGCCCAUCCCGAAGGGUGGUUCUCAAAUGGAACGGUGAUAUUACAACGGUAGGCCUCAAGUAUGGUGUGACUCCCCC
Molecule: ribosomal RNA, 383 nt
Filed under: Mansonia sp. 2 BR-2012
Lineage: Eukaryota; Metazoa; Arthropoda; Insecta; Diptera; Culicidae
Description: eukaryotic LSU rRNA
Source: RNAcentral